UGGGGAAUAUUGGACAAUGGGCAAAAGCCUGAUCCAGCCAUGCCGCAUGAGUGAAGAAGGCCUUUGGGUUGUAAAGCUCUUUUAGUGAGGAAGAUAAUGACGGUACUCACAGAGGAAGUCCUGGCUAACUCCGUGCCAGCAGCCGCGGUAAUACGGAGAGGGCUAGCGUUAUUCGGAAUUAUUGGGCGUAAAGGGCGCGUAGGCUGGUUAGUAAGUUAAAAGUGAAAUCCCGAGGCUUAACCUUGGAACUGCUUUUAAAACUGCUAACCUAGAGAUUGAAAGAGGAUAGAGGAAUUCCUAGUGUAGAGGUGAAAUUCGUAAAUAUUAGGAGGAACACCAGUGGCGAAGGCGUCUAUCUGGUUCAAAUCUGACGCUGAGGCGCGAAGGCGUGGGGAGCAAACA
RNAcentral lists this ribosomal RNA (402 nucleotides) under uncultured bacterium. RNAcentral describes it as "bacterial SSU rRNA". It matches the Rfam family "Bacterial small subunit ribosomal RNA", at positions 355 to 774 of the family's 1533-position model. The record is from RNAcentral.